UACGUAGGUGGCAAGCGUUGUCCGGAUUUACUGGGCGUAAAGAGCGCGCAGGCGGUCGUUCAAGUCGCGUGUGAAAGCCCCCGGCUCAACUGGGGAGGGUCACGCGAUACUGAUCGACUCGAAGGCAGGAGAGGGUAGUGGAAUUCCCGGUGUAGUGGUGAAAUGCGUAGAGAUCCGGAGGAAUACCAGUGGCGAAGGCGGCUUGCUGGGUCUAGACUGACACUCAGACGCGAAAGCAUGGGGAGCGAACGGG
This 253-nucleotide ribosomal RNA is filed under the name uncultured bacterium. RNAcentral's name for it is "partial 16S ribosomal RNA". It matches the Rfam family "Bacterial small subunit ribosomal RNA", at positions 524 to 776 of the family's 1533-position model. The record is from RNAcentral.